UAGGGAAUAUUGGUUAAUGUGCGAAAGCGCGAACCAGCAACGCCGCGUGUGCGAUGAAGGCCUUCGGGUCGUAAAGCACUUUUUGCAGGGAAGAGGAAGGACGGUACCUGCAGAAUAAGUCUCGGCUAACUACGUGCCAGCAGCCGCGGUAAAACGUAGGAGACGAGCGUUAUCCGGAUUUACUGGGCGUAAAGCGCGUGCAGGCGGCAUGGCAAGUUGGAUGUGAAAGCUCCCGGCUUAACUGGGAGAGGUCGUUCAAUACUGCCAGGCUUGAGAGUGGGAGAGGGAAGCGGAAUUCAGGGGGUAGUGGUGAAAUGCGUAGAUAGCCGGAGGAAAACCAGUGGCGAAAGCGGCUUCCUGGCCCAUUUCUGACGCUCAGACGCGAAAGCUAGGGUAGCAAA
RNAcentral lists this ribosomal RNA (401 nucleotides) under uncultured bacterium. Its description in RNAcentral is "bacterial SSU rRNA". It matches the Rfam family "Bacterial small subunit ribosomal RNA", at positions 355 to 772 of the family's 1533-position model. The record is from RNAcentral.